GCGGAGAUAGCUCAGUUAGCAGAGCGCAGUGAUACCAUCAUUGAGGUCGUUGGUGCGAUUCCAUCUCUCCGCUCA
RNAcentral lists this transfer RNA (75 nucleotides) under Caudoviricetes sp. Its description in RNAcentral is "tRNA-Gly". It matches the Rfam family "tRNA". Rfam says of the family: Transfer RNA (tRNA) molecules are approximately 80 nucleotides in length. Their secondary structure includes four short double-helical elements and three loops (D, anti-codon, and T loops). Further hydrogen bonds mediate the characteristic L-shaped molecular structure. tRNAs have two regions of fundamental functional importance: the anti-codon, which is responsible for specific mRNA codon recognition, and the 3' end, to which the tRNAs corresponding amino acid is attached (by aminoacyl-tRNA synthetases). tRNAs cope with the degeneracy of the genetic code in two manners: having more than one tRNA (with a specific anti-codon) for a particular amino acid; and 'wobble' base-pairing, i.e. permitting non-standard base-pairing at the 3rd anti-codon position. The record is from RNAcentral. Lineage: Duplodnaviria; Heunggongvirae; Uroviricota; Caudoviricetes.